This 72-nucleotide transfer RNA is filed under the name Bos taurus (domestic cattle). It matches the Rfam family "tRNA". Rfam says of the family: Transfer RNA (tRNA) molecules are approximately 80 nucleotides in length. Their secondary structure includes four short double-helical elements and three loops (D, anti-codon, and T loops). Lineage: Eukaryota; Metazoa; Chordata; Mammalia; Artiodactyla; Bovidae. The record is from Rfam by way of RNAcentral. RNAcentral also lists the same sequence under 4 other names.
UCCCUGGUGGCUCAGCUGGUAAAGAACCCACCUGCAAUGUGGGAGACACGGGUUUGAUUCCUGAGUUGGGAA